RNAcentral lists this ribosomal RNA (379 nucleotides) under uncultured eukaryote. Its description in RNAcentral is "partial 18S ribosomal RNA". It matches the Rfam family "Eukaryotic small subunit ribosomal RNA", at positions 592 to 976 of the family's 1831-position model. The record is from RNAcentral.
CAAUAGCGUAUAUUUAAGUUGUUGCAGUUAAAAAGCUCGUAGUUGGAUUUCGGAUGGGACUUGCCGGUCCGUCGUUUCGAUGUGCACUGGCCAGUCCUAUCUUGUUGUCGGGGACUAGCUCCUGGGCUUCACUGUCCGGGACUAGGAGCUGACGAGGUUACUUUGAGUAAAUUAGAAUGUUCAAAGCAAGCCUACGCUCUGAAUACAUUAGCAUGGAAUAACACGAUAGGACUCUGGCUUAUCUUGUUGGUCUGUGAGACCAGAGUAAUGAUUAAGAGGGACAGUCGGGGGCAUUCGUAUUUCAUUGUCAGAGGUGAAAUUCUUGAAUUUAUGAAAGACGAACUUCUGCGAAAGCAUUUGUCAAGGAUGUUUUCAUUAA